GGGGAUGUAGCUCAGUAAUAAAGCACUUGCCUGGCAUGCAUGAAGCCCUGGGUUCCAUCCCCA
This is a non-coding RNA of Ictidomys tridecemlineatus (thirteen-lined ground squirrel), 63 nucleotides long. The record is from Rfam. Lineage: Eukaryota; Metazoa; Chordata; Mammalia; Rodentia; Sciuridae.